GAUGAACGCUGGCGGCGUGCCUAAUACAUGCAAGUCGAGCGAACAGACGAGGAGCUUGCUCCUCUGACGUUAGCGGCGGACGGGUGAGUAACACGUGGAUAACCUACCUAUAAGACUGGGAUAACUUCGGGAAACCGGAGCUAAUACCGGAUAAUAUAUUGAACCGCAUGGUUCAAUAGUGAAAGACGGUUUUGCUGUCACUUAUAGAUGGAUCCGCGCCGCAUUAGCUAGUUGGUAAGGUAACGGCUUACCAAGGCAACGAUGCGUAGCCGACCUGAGAGGGUGAUCGGCCACACUGGAACUGAGACAGGGUCCAGACUCCGACGGGAGGCAGCAGUAGGGAAUCUUACGCAAUGGGCGAAAGCCUGACGGAGCAACGCCGCGUGAGUGAUGAAGGUCUUCGGAUCGUAAAACUCUGUUAUUAGGGAAGAACAAAUGUGUAAGUAACUAUGCACGUCUUGACGGUACCUAAUCAGAAAGCCACGGCUAACUACGUG
This 497-nucleotide ribosomal RNA is filed under the name uncultured bacterium. Its description in RNAcentral is "partial 16S ribosomal RNA". It matches the Rfam family "Bacterial small subunit ribosomal RNA", at positions 28 to 507 of the family's 1533-position model. The record is from RNAcentral.